CUACGGGGGGCAGCAGUAGGGAAUUUUCGGCAAUGGGGGAAACCCUGACCGAGCAACGCCGCGUGAAUGACGAAGUACUUCGGUAUGUAAAGUUCUUUUAUUAGGGAAGAAUGGCAGGUGGAAAAACCUGAUUGACGGUACCUAAUGAAUAAGCCCCGGCUAACUAUGUGCCAGCAGCCGCGGUAAUACAUAGGGGGCAAGCGUUAUCCGGAAUUAUUGGGCGUAAAGGGUGCGUAGGUGGUUCGUUAAGUCUUUGGUGUAAGUGCAGUGCUUAACGCUGUGAUGCUAAAGAAACUGGCGGACUUGAGUGUGGUAGAGGCAAGUGGAAUUCCAUGUGUAGCGGUAAUAUGCGUAAAUAUAUGGAGGAACACCAGUGGCGAAGGCGGCUUGCUGGGCCACAACUGACACUGAGGCACGAAAGCGUGGGGAGCAAACAGGAUUAGAUACCCUGGUAGUC
Molecule: ribosomal RNA, 457 nt
Filed under: uncultured bacterium
Lineage: Bacteria
Description: partial 16S ribosomal RNA
Rfam family: Bacterial small subunit ribosomal RNA
Source: RNAcentral